RNAcentral lists this ribosomal RNA (264 nucleotides) under uncultured bacterium. Its description in RNAcentral is "partial 16S ribosomal RNA". It matches the Rfam family "Bacterial small subunit ribosomal RNA", at positions 793 to 1055 of the family's 1533-position model. The record is from RNAcentral.
GUCCACGCCAUAAACGAUGAGAACUGGAUGUCGGGAGGGUCUGCCUCUCGGUGUCGUAGCUAACGCGUUAAGUUCUCCGCCUGGGGAGUACGGCCGCAAGGUUGAAACUCAAAUGAAUUGACUGGGACCCCGCACAAGCGGUGGAGCAUGUGGUUUAAUUCGAUGCAACGCGAAGAACCUUACCUGGUCUUGACAUCCUAGGAAUCCUUCAGAGAUGAGGGAGUGCCUUCGGGAACCUGGAGACAGGUGCUGCAUGGCUGUCGU